Molecule: long non-coding RNA, 669 nt
Organism: Quercus robur (English oak)
Lineage: Eukaryota; Viridiplantae; Streptophyta; Magnoliopsida; Fagales; Fagaceae
Exons: 2
Source: RefSeq, a predicted model, not a curated record
GAUAUUUAUUGGUUCUUGAUGAUUUUAAUGCUUAAAAUGAAUGUCAUGUGCAGAUAUUAUUCUAGCAACAGUUGACCAAGAAAAGUGACAUCUACAGCUUUGGGGUCGUUCUUUUGGAGCUCAUUUGUGGUAGAGAACCAUUGAGCCACUCAGGAACUCCAGACUCAUUCAAUUUGGUCUUAUGGGCCAAGCCCUAUUUACAAGCAGGUACAUUUGAGAUAGUGCCUCAUAGUGGACGAGAGCUUAACAGGAACAUUUGCAGUAGAGAGCAUGAGAAAGGCAGCCUUCGUUGCUGUGAAGUCAGUAGAGAGAGAUGCAUCACAAAGGCCAACUAUUGCAGAGGUAUUGGCAGAGUUGAAAGAAGCCUAUAGCAUUCAGCACUCCUACCUAGCAUCUUUCGAGCAUGGCAGCUGAUUUCCAGUCAAUACAACGUAUGAAAUAUUUAUCCUCGAACUAAGACUUUUAUUUAUUUAUUUUUUCAUUUCAUUUCCUUUUUGAGUAUGUAAAUAGAAUGAAGUCUUCUCAAAGUCAAAUCAAGCAGAAUUGCCUUGAAUGCCAAUAUUAAUAGAGAUGUAAUAAGGUUUACUAUUAGUUACUUUCUUUGACAAUGUUAAGAAGAGACUAUUUCCGUGAUAAUAGCAACAAUGAAAACUUUUCUUUUUCCUGCAA